UGCAUUACAAAAAAAAAAAACAGAGUAAGAGAGCAGCCUAUAGAGUUUCGAUACAAUAAUGCAAAUUGGUUUCGUUUCCUAAUUCAAGUAGAUGGAAGCGAUAAAACCUUUGUUCCUCGUCCAUUCCAUUGUCAGGUUGGGCACGAACACGAUCAUUACUCUUGAGAUCCUCGUCAUCGGCCUUAAAAGUUAUCCCACCAGUAUUGUCGCUUCCCGGAGAAUAGCUCUUAUUUUGUUCGUCGUCAGCUUCGUCAUCCUCUUUAGCCCAUUUUGAAGCUGUCAAUAGGAGGUCACUCUUCUCCGUUCCCACAAAGGCUUUCAGCUCAGGCUGAGGGAUUGGUAUUGUCGUGGCUAGAUUCAUAGGCUCUUUCAUUUCAACCUCAGUCACAUUCCUAACUUCUUCCCAAGUUGAAUGGUCUUGCUGCGGAUACUUUGAAAUUUCAUCCACUACUUCAUAUCCACGUUGUUUCUCUGUGUCUUCAAGGCUCAGUAGCCGAGCAACCAUCACUACUCUACCCCCUACAAGAGACAGUCCAUUGUGUCGGCAGCGUCUUUCAAGCUCAGAAAUUGGUAAAUCCAUCAGCUCUUGCCUUGCACCCUCUUUGCCUAUUGCCAGUGCACUAUCUGGAUAACCAAUAUCGCUCAUAUCGUUGUAACCUUUCUUCUCUAUCUCUGGUGCAUCACCGCAGAUAGAAUGAAAUGAGGUAACACCAGAGAUUCCCGAACGAAGAAAUGUUGUACGUAGUCCAGAUAUGUACGCAUCUGAAAAGAGAAACCAAUCCGCCCAUACUUGCAGAACUUUGAGAACCCGUUCCUGCAAAGGGUUCGAAUGAGUUUAAAACAGAGAAAAUCAUAAGGCUAAGAAAAAUCAUAAAAGAUUAAUUUUCUUUCUGACAGUACUUUUAGAGCCUCAGCAGUAAUUCUUCCAGUUAUGCUCCGGUAAAGAUCAUUGAAGCUUUCCAUUAUAUCGGGAAGUGUUGCUUCGAACUUGGUUCGGUAUGCAGAUGCAUUUUUAACAGGUGCGCUGCUAUUAUGAAGAAUAUCAGACACAAGCAUGAGUCUAGCAACUUUAGUUGGAAUUGAUGUCUCUUUUAGUGUCAGGGACUCCGUCAGCACUUCAACAACCUGUGGAAUAAAUAAACAGGAAAUGACGUCUGAAUAUCUCUAUUUACUAACGAUAAUUAUGCUCACAGGUUCUAUGAGAUGUCUCGAAUGUGUAUAAUGCAUUUUUAGAUGUAUAAUGCCAAAUUAAGGGAUUAUAACAUAUCUGAAGCUUCUGAAGGAUAUCUAUGAAGCAAAUGAUGUCUGUAAAUCUAAAUAUAACAAUAGAAUUCAGAACAAAUAAUACCUCUCCAGCUGCAUCUGCAUUAUCUAAAGCGAAUCCCAUAGCUUCUUUUAUUUGGCUCCUUUCUAGAGUUAGAGAACGCAACAUGUCCUCGAAGUCAUCCCUUUGAGGAUCCGUCAGAGGCCUCUCAACUUCCGCACGCUGUAAAAUUUACCAGUGUUAAGGUAUCCCGCUAUAGUAUAGAACAAAAAAUGAGAAAAAAAUCAGAAGUGAGACUGCAAGAAGAUUACCCUGCUUCUUCCCGCUGCAUAUGUGCUUGCUGACUCUUUGUCAUGCUCGAGGCUCUUAUUUACAGGCAGCGGUGGUGGUAUCCAUCUGCAAUAAGAGCAAAGGACUGUUAAAUCAAAUGAAGUGCAAAGGUAAACAGAACCGAACACCAGAAUCAGUUUCAAGGUUGGCAAGCUUUAAUACCUUCCACUACCAGUUAUCAUGAUAUACGGCUCUGUUCUCCACCUUUGAAGUGUAUCACCCUAAACAAUGCCAACACAUCCAUCAGCUUAUGACAAUGUAAAGCUCAAGGAGAAUCUAAGAUAUACUUAGCUAUAAAGCAUUUAAAAUGUACCUGAGCAAAGGAAUAGAGUCUCCAGACGUAGUAAGUAUGCUCUUUCGAUCCAAGCUCAAACAAGAAACUAAACAGUGGAUUCCCUCGGCCCCUCUCCAUGAUAGCUUGUUCAAACGCACAUUCACCAUCAAGAACAUAGAGAGCCAUUGUAUCAAUCAGAUGUCUGAGGUGCUCGUUCUCAGGAGUAACAACAGUGAUAUCCGGAACAUUGGGGGUAAGAACCUGUGAAAGGAAUUCCAUGCAGGAGAUGUACAUUUGGAAUAAGAUUAUUAAAAAAGGUAGAUGGUAAGAACCAGUAUCACUACAAAUAAGAGAAUCAUCAAGUACUGAGAAAUGUCGAGUAUAUGGGGACCGAUUUGGGGGUCUUUUGGAGAUUUGAGAGAGUAGAGAAUGUAUCAGAAUUCAACCCUAGCUAGUUCUUUCGUUCUAUGUUCUAAGUCAUUUUAAGAAACAGAGGUUAUAUUUGACCAUAAAAAGUAAUUCAAGCACUCCUCGAAUAUCAUAUAAAACUUUUAAAGGACCAAUUCAAGCCAUGUAGAAUCAAGUUUACAUACCAGCUCAGAGUUUUGAGUUGGAACAGAAGUUAUUAUUGGUGGACCCGAUUGACCAGAAAAAAUCAAGUUGCAGCCCUGCCAAUGAAAGUAUAUGAAAUAUUAGAGUGACAAUUAAUAAAUAUAAAACUGGCAGUAUGGAAAAAUACGAAUAACAAACAGGAAUCAAACCCAUUCAUAGGUUAUACAUGAUUAAAGAAGAAAUGUAUCUCAAAGAAUAGCACAUGAUGCAUCACAGACCUCCUUACUACGAAUAGCCAUAUGUCCAGGUGGUGGAGCGGGUAAUGCUUGUGAUGGUAAAGAAACCGCUUUACCCCAACCAAUCUUCAAUUCAUAAUCGUACACGAUGAUCCCUGUAAAAUUAGUAUCUCCUUCAUAAGUUUCUUUAAAUUGUCACAUGCAAUCAGGAUGUUCAGUAAUACAAAACCAGUUGACCAUAGACUAGUAAAAAUUGCCAGAAGGACCAUUAUUUUCCAACAUUGACUAACCAGUGGGUAAGUUGUAUCGAUCAAGAAAGAAAAGACAACAACACAAAGCAGUAAUACUGAAGAACAAAGAGAUGGAAGAAAUUGCAUCAAUGAAGAAAGAAAAGCCAAGGCAACAAAAGCUAGGUAGUAAUAAUGACUAAAACUGAAUGGCAAUGCAUGCCUUUUAUUGAAUUUUGGUUACAUAAUGACGUAGAAUUUGCACUUACGAAACCAAUCAAAUAUUUUUGACUUAAAGUAGUCAAAAUAUGAUAUUAAAUAGCAUAGAACCUAGAAACUUUUCUUGUACAAUGAUCCAUUUUAAGCUUUUCUAUCAUACAUUACACAUGUUGCCCCUACCUAGCAGUUGAUCUCUAGGCCAGGAUACAAUAGAUAGUUCUAGAGAGAAGAAGGCUAGCUAACCUUGCAUUUCAUCUUUUGCAGCUUGUCCAUCAGCUCUAUGCAUGAAGGAAACAAACCCACAGUUUCUUUGUCGUCUCUUCUCCUCAUCUGUUCUUGGCCACAUAAUCUUGACACUAGCUAUGGGCCCAAAUCUUCCAAACGUGCGCAAAAGGAAGUUCUCAUCAACCUAUUUGAGCAUAAAGACCACAUCUCAAAAUAUAAGUCAAGGACGCACACAAUAAAAUAUUGGCGAGAGAAUACAGUACAUAAGUUCACGUAAGAAUAAAUAUACCUUUGGGGAUAGAUUCCCAACAUACAAAUUUGUAGUUUGUGGGUCCCCAUCAUCAAACGAUCCUAGCCUUCCAGUGGGAUCAAAAUCAUCAAGCUCGUCAAAGCGGCUAGUAGGCUGAAGAUAGAAUAAACUUUAAUUACAAAAUACAGAACAUAUCUCUCCAAAAAACAGUUCAGGGUUACCCUGAAAGCAGAAAACAGAUGAAAAGAGGACAAAACAAUGAUGACUAACCGAGCUAUCGCCCUGACGGUCACGAUCCUGGUUACGUCUUUCCCUCAUUUCUUGUUCACGCUUCAGCUCCUCCAUGAAAUUAUCUAUGUUUCGAGUCUUUCCCUUAUCUCUCUCCUUAGGUCUCUCCUCCUCCCUCUACAAAGUUGAGAAAAACAAAAUUAUAACUAACCCAUUGCUGCUUCAAAGAAAUACAGUGAAAAUAGGCUUGCUACUGACCUUCCUCUCUGUUUCUUUACCCUUAGAUGCCAUUGGUGGAGGAAGAAAAGAGGGCACAUACCUACACAGAUUACGCGGAAGAUAAUAUACAAUAUCACAAGAACACGCAAAAUAGACUUCAACUUCUUAUCAAGUAAUAGCCAAGAACAUUAUUACUAAGACCCACAACUCUUAUCUCAGCUACUUGCAUGACAUGAACACAUGAUAGAUAGUAUUCUACUCAACCAUUGUAACAACCACUCAUCAGAAAGUUCAAACUCUUUCUGCUUAUGAUGGGUUUGCUAUAAAUGCUUAGCAUUGCAAGGUUGAUUCAAUCAAUCAAAAAGCAAUCAGAUAACCACUUUACCUACUCCCCUUCUUUGAAACCGAACCCCCAUCUUUGGACUUUUCACCUGCCAUCCGCGAACGCAUAGAAAAAAAAGGUCCAUACUCUUAUUAAUAUGUUCUCAAUAUAAACAAAGUUCUACCAUUUUGACACCAUCUAAAAAGAAAGCACACAAUAAGGCAAUGUAACAAACAAGUUAAAGCUAUAGCCUUUUUUUACCUUCGGAAUCAGCUUUAGGCUUGUCGCCGGGGUUAAUAGUGCCGCCUCGAACAAAAGUCUUGGUCCCACUCUCCCCUUGAAACGACUCCACGAACUCCUGAUAGAGACGCGCCGUCUCAUCCUCAGCUUUCUGCGUUUUAAGAUUGGAUCGAUUAACCAAUCAAUCAAUCAAUCAUCGAAACUGAAUUUGCUUGCGGAAAGAGAGAUUAACGAACCUUCUUCCUGGCUUCUUCUUCCUCCUUGUGUUUCUGGAAGGGCGUUUUCUUACGGGUGAUCGAGAAGGAGCUCAUCUUUCAGCUGCUAUGGAGAUUGUGGAUUCUGAAUCGGAGCUAGGGUUUGAGGGGAAUCGAGUGUGUGUGUCAGUCGCUCUUCUCUCUCGGUUUACUUUUCUCUUGGUUGGCUGCUCAAAUGGGCCAAUGGUCUCUCGAUAUUAUAUUUUACUUGAAAUUUAUUAUUUUCUCCAUUUUUUAUUAGCUAACGUGUUUUGUGUUGAUGCGCACUAAUUCAAAACAUUUUUGGUAAGUUUUUUAAACAUAAAUUCAUUAAUUAUCUAUUUAAUUGUAAUUUAAUCAACAAUAAACCAAACAGUAUAAUGCAAAAACUCAUAUAGUUACAUACUCCUUCAAUUUUAAGUGUAACUAUAAAGAAAAUUUGUGUUGCAAAAUAAAUGUCGUUUAGCAUUUCAAUACAUAAUUUAUUAAUUUUAUUUUUUAAUUUAUUUUUUAAUUGGAUAUAAAUAAAAUAUAUGUUCAAAUGUAUGGAUAAUGAUGUUUUUAUAUAAAAAAUAUACAAAAGUAAAUAUUUUCUUAAUCUUUGUGCAUAAAUCUAAAAUGACACUUAAUAUGAAACAGAAAAAAAAAAAUACAAUUUUAACAAAUUUUACAUUGAAACUUAAAAGUUGAAACAUCAUCUAAUUUGAAAAAAAAAUGAAAACAUCAAGUACAAUGAAAUAGAGGGAGGAGUGUUACAGAAAUGGUUGCGAUGCUUGGAAGUAGCAACUAAUUUAACCUGUUGAAAAUAAAUGUGUUUCCAAAAUAUUUAUAUCUGCAGAAGAAACAAUGAGUGAGAAUCUUAGAAACUGGGGAUGGAGCACACAAUUACAAGCUGUGUCUGAGAAUGAGUUCUACAUAUCUUCUGGGUUCAGAAAUACAAAAGGGUUGAAAAUUCGAAAUUUUAUCAUAGGAACAUUGCUUCAUGCAGAGAACAAACCAUGAGGUGAAGGAACAAUCAUCAUCUCGUGCCUCGUCUGCGCCACUCCCUGUCUCUCUCUCUGCUUUUAUCAUGAUCGUCUCGCUCGUGGCUUAAACUCUUUUCACGUCGGUCUCGAUCCCUGCUCAAAUCAUGUUGCCUAUCUCUGUCUCUGAGUCUCCCCCUGUCCCUGUCUCGGUCCAAGUCAUGAUCUCUCUCCCUUGUUGAUGAUUUCCGUGGAGGACUUUGGCUCUGGUUUUCCCCACGCUGUCGCUUUUUAGACGAUUCCCGAGAAUCUUCAGUAGGCCUCUCCUUCCGCUCUACAGUUGAUUUCUCUGCAGUUAAAAAGUGUUGAAAUUUGCAUGAGGAACGAAAAUGAGCUGAAGAAUUUGCAGAAAGGGGCACAAGUUUCCCCCAUUGUUGCAUCAAAAGAACAUUGAACAAUUAAAAUUCUCAAAACAAAGGAAGAGUAACUAUCAGGUGUAAAGUAUAACUUACGAUUUUUGCUGCCCUCGUUAGAUCCUGAUAAGCCAUAAUCAACUUCAAGCCUCUUUCGUUUGAUUUCAACUUUUUUCUCUAUCUCCUCGGAGUUUUUCAUCCCCUGUUCCUCCAGAGUUUCACGAUACUCUAUCAAAGCAACCUCUAUGCGUCUCCGCUUUUGUCUGCAUUACAAAAAAAAAAAACAGAGUAAGAGAGCAGCCUAUAGAGUUUCGAUACAAUAAUGCAAAUUGGUUUCGUUUCCUAAUUCAAGUAGAUGGAAGCGAUAAAACCUUUGUUCCUCGUCCAUUCCAUUGUCAGGUUGGGCACGAACACGAUCAUUACUCUUGAGAUCCUCGUCAUCGGCCUUAAAAGUUAUCCCACCAGUAUUGUCGCUUCCCGGAGAAUAGCUCUUAUUUUGUUCGUCGUCAGCUUCGUCAUCCUCUUUAGCCCAUUUUGAAGCUGUCAAUAGGAGGUCACUCUUCUCCGUUCCCACAAAGGCUUUCAGCUCAGGCUGAGGGAUUGGUAUUGUCGUGGCUAGAUUCAUAGGCUCUUUCAUUUCAACCUCAGUCACAUUCCUAACUUCUUCCCAAGUUGAAUGGUCUUGCUGCGGAUACUUUGAAAUUUCAUCCACUACUUCAUAUCCACG
RNAcentral lists this long non-coding RNA (6921 nucleotides) under Brassica napus (rape). Its description in RNAcentral is "long non-coding RNA (BNAP_LNC007284)". The record is from RNAcentral. Lineage: Eukaryota; Viridiplantae; Streptophyta; Magnoliopsida; Brassicales; Brassicaceae.